This 405-nucleotide ribosomal RNA is filed under the name uncultured bacterium. Its description in RNAcentral is "bacterial SSU rRNA". It matches the Rfam family "Bacterial small subunit ribosomal RNA", at positions 355 to 776 of the family's 1533-position model. The record is from RNAcentral.
UGGGGAAUAUUGCACAAUGGGCGCAAGCCUGAUGCAGCAACGCCGCGUGGAGGAAGACGGUUUUCGGAUUGUAAACUCCUGUUCUUAGUGAAGAAUAAUGACGGUAGCUAAGGAGCAAGCCACGGCUAACUACGUGCCAGCAGCCGCGGUAAUACGUAGGUGGCAAGCGUUGUCCGGAAUUACUGGGUGUAAAGGGAGCGCAGGCGGGGGAGCAAGUCAGCUGUGAAAUCCAUGGGCUUAACCCGUGAACUGCAGUUGAAACUGUUCUUCUUGAGUGAAGUAGAGGUUGGCGGAAUUCCGAGUGUAGCGGUGAAAUGCGUAGAUAUUCGGAGGAACACCGGUGGCGAAGGCGGCCAACUGGGCUUUUACUGACGCUGAGGCUCGAAAGUGUGGGGAGCAAACAGG